This is a long non-coding RNA of Nomia melanderi (Alkali bee), 1939 nucleotides long. RefSeq lists it as uncharacterized. Lineage: Eukaryota; Metazoa; Arthropoda; Insecta; Hymenoptera; Halictidae. The record is from RefSeq and is a predicted model, not a curated record.
GGUGCGACAGUUUCCUACUCGGAGAGCGACUGUAUUGUACAAUUCAUUGUCAAGUCGGAGCAGCUCAACUAAGAGGCAACCCAACACUGCGUGGGCGUACCAGAGUCACACUUCUGAUGUCACCAACGUUAUAAUUCGUUGUUCCGGAUUGCCUUGUCUGCAAACGGAGAAGAGAAUUUCGAGAACUAUUUUAAUAUCCUGCUUUUCAAAUGGAGAACAAAGCUAUUCAACGAAAUCGAAGAUCUCCCGGCCGCGGGAGUCAACGAUCAUCGAAAUGUUUGUCAUGCAAAGUGACGGAGACACGGUCCGGAUGCGUUUCCUGUCGUUAGCAGUGGCACAAGCCCGGGCAAACGUGAAAACGCGGACAGGAAUCCCGCUAGAAGCCACCGUACUAUGACACCCGUGCCGCCGCGGAAUUUUUUAUCGGCCGCGGAAUAUCAGAUUGCUAUUGUAACACGAUGAAUGAAUUGAAUCACCGCCGAAUCGAUCCGUGAAACUCGAGAUCCGAGCGGAUAACUGUUGGAAUGUUAAUUUAUGCUAAGCAGCGUUAUCCGUCGUCUGAUAAUAUCUGUCAAGAGAAAGAGGAGCAAUCGCAUUGAAAUGUUAAAUAAUCGAGGCAACGUGGAUCAUGGAUUCCUGGAUCACUUUAAUUAUUAACAAAUUACAACGUGUGUACUUGAUUCCUGGAUCUUUAAUUAUUAACAAAUUACAACGUGUAUACUUCACAAGAUAGAUCUAUGUUGUAGAUUCGUGGAUCGUUAGACGUUUAUUAUAGAUAUGUUAGAAAGACUAAAUGUAGAAAACGAUAGCAGUGGUAGUGAUAUCGUCCAAUCAACAAGGCGACGAAGAAAUCGCAUAGAUAGCGAUAGCGAUGAAAGUGAUACGUAACGGUUUAUUACACAGUACAAAAUUAUAAGGAAUAAAAUAUUGAUUUUUUUGCAAAUAUACUUGAUGUCAACCAAUUCAAGUCCAAUAUCAUUAUAAUACGUUACUUCCAAAACUAUACUAAAUUCCAAUCCGGUCCAGAAUGGUUCGGAGUGCAACGGGUUAAUUAUUAACAAAUUACUACUGUGCAAGUGUGUACUUCACUUGAUAGGUAAAGAAAGGGAUCAAGCGAAUAAUAUCGGAGCGCAAAGGUCACGGAUCAAUAGUAAAUAUUUGGUCCUACCAUCGAGCACUUUCUUCGUCGAAGAUGGAACGACAACUUGGAACCUACAACUCUCACCACUCCGUUUAGCAUCGAGUAGACUGAGCCACUCUGCUGACCAGUUCUCCGCGUCGUGAUGUCAGCGUGGGAAGAGAGGGGAACGAUUAAGUGUCGGACAGCAUUCGGUACACUUCACCGCUUCGACAGUGUGUCUGAACACGUUAAUUCAACUACACAUCAUCGUUCUGGCUACUGGAUGACUGGGCUUCGGUCAUUCAAUUUAACAUUGAAUUGGAGUUAAAUGAAAUUUCAGUUGAGGAUAACUGGGUUCUGGUACCUGCAAUUGUUAAUUGGAAGCUCAUUACACUUUUUCCUUCUGAAUGAAAUUUUUGUAACAUUGCUUCAUUUCAGGUCAUUCAAUUUAACAUUGAAUUGAAAUUAAAUGAAAUUUCAGUUGACAUUGAAAGAUCUACAAUGGUAUAUAAUUUUAUGGUAGUCAGGAAUUGAAGAUUUUAGUUCUCAUUGGAGUUUAGUAUAUUCAUGUUACUGGGUAGCUUUGUGAUCCCAUUUUAAGUUAUCAGAAUUUUAUUGAAAUACAGAAAAUUACAUAAAUAGAGGUUUAUGAUCCUCUAUAAUAUAAUACAUUAGAGCUCCAACCUUUGACUCUUUUAAUGAGAACUCUGAAAUUUCAAAUUUCAAAUCUCAAAUUCCAAUGAUACAGAAUUAUAACAGAGUUAAGCAAUGAGAGAACAUUAAACAGCUGCCUUAACUGUCAGCAAUUGACUUCGCUAA